This 693-nucleotide ribosomal RNA is filed under the name Triticum aestivum (bread wheat). RNAcentral describes it as "partial small subunit ribosomal RNA". Lineage: Eukaryota; Viridiplantae; Streptophyta; Magnoliopsida; Poales; Poaceae. The record is from RNAcentral.
AUGAAGGGGCGGUUGGGAGCUCUGAGAGGUUUUACGGCUGCUUGUGCAGAUAGCCCUACUACACCCAAGAAUCCCAUUGUGGAAUUGAUAAACAGUGAUGAUGAUGUGUUUGACAAGAUUGCUGGCGUUGGAAGGGUCACGAGGAGCGUUGCUGCCAAAGGUUUAUCUCCCCUUGCUGGAAUAGUGGCUCGUAGAGCUGGUGGUGCUAGGAAAGAUCCCGCUUUGGAUUCUGGCAAUGUUGUAAGCACGAAGCGUGCGCCCAGAGCUCCUAUAAAGUUUUGCUCCCCUGUGCAGCAGCUUCACCCUUAUAAAUUCCCUCACCUUGACAAGGCUCGCAGGUUGUAUAAUCUGUUGCUUAGUAAUGAAUGGCGUGAGAAGUAUGGCGAGGAUACAUUCUCAAUGAUACCUCAGCCUGAUGGAAACGUAACUAACUUCACUGGGAAUCGCAUCUGGGAAGUUUUUUCACCUGGGCAAAUGAUGGAGGGUGAUGUUGUGCUUGACUGUUCGUUUUACGAGGAUGAAAAUAAAGUGUUUAAUGUGGAGAGUGCAGUGAGAUAUUUCAAGAGCUAUGUUAAAGGUAAUGAAGACUUGCUCAGUGCCGACCUUAUCAUGAUGCCUCUAUUCAAGCCUAUGGUUUUAUCAAAGGAUAGGAAAGUGAGCCACUAUUCCUUAUAUGUCAUGAAUCGGUACUGA